Molecule: ribosomal RNA, 1021 nt
Filed under: uncultured Roseobacter sp.
Lineage: Bacteria; Pseudomonadati; Pseudomonadota; Alphaproteobacteria; Rhodobacterales; Roseobacteraceae
Description: bacterial SSU rRNA
Rfam family: Bacterial small subunit ribosomal RNA
Source: RNAcentral
AUCUGGCCCGGGUACGCAGUCGAUUCGGUCCGGCGGACGGGUGAGUAACGCGUGGGAACGUGCCCUUCUCUACGGAAUAUCCCGGGAAACUGGGUUUAAUACCGUAUCCCCUUCGGGGGAAAGAUUUAUCGAAAGGAUCGGCCCGCGUUGGAUUAGGUAGUGGGGGGUAAUGGCCUACCAACCGACAUCCAUGGGUUUGAGGAUGAUCACCACCUGGGACUGAACACGCCCAACUCCUAGGGAGGCAGCGGGGGAAUCUUAACAAGGGAAACCCUGAUCUACCUGCCGGGAGUGAAAGGCUUAGGGUCGAAAGUUUUCCCGGGAGAUAAUGACAGUACCUGAAAAAACCCCGGCUAACUCCGUGCCAGCAGCCGCGGUAAUACGGAGGGGGUUAGCGUUGUUCGGAAUUACUGGGCGUAAAGCGCGCGUAGGCGGAUUAAAAGUUGGGGGGAAAUCCCGGGGCUCACCCCGGAACUGCCUCCAAAACUACUAGUCUAGAGUUCGAGAGAGGUGAGUGGAAUUCCGAGUGUAGAGGUGAAAUUCGUAAUAUUCGGAGGAACACCAGUGGCGAAGGCGGCUCACUGGCUCGAUACUGACGCUGAGGUGCGAAAGUGUGGGGAGCAAACAGGAUUAAUACCCUGGUAUCCACACCUAAACGAUGAAUGCCAGUCGUCGGGGCGCUAGCCUUCGGUGACACACCUAACAUUAAGAUUCGCCUGGGGAGUACGGUCGCAAGAUUAAAACUCAAAGGAAUUGACGGGGCCCCGCACAAGCGGUGGAGCUGUGGUUAAUUCGAAGCAACGCGCAGAACUUACCAACCUUGACAUCCUGACGCGUACCAGAGAUGGUUUCCUUCAGUUCGGCUGGAUCAGGACGGUGCUGCAUGGUGUCGUCAGCUCGUGUCGGAGAUGUCGGUUAAGUCCGGCAACGACGCACCCCAUUCUAGUUGCCAGCAUCGCUGGGCCUCUAAAACUGCUGAUAGCGGGAGGUGACGCAGUCCAUGCGGUACCACUAAAUGUGC